RNAcentral lists this non-coding RNA (31 nucleotides) under Rattus norvegicus (Norway rat). Lineage: Eukaryota; Metazoa; Chordata; Mammalia; Rodentia; Muridae. The record is from RNAcentral.
UCCUUCAAGAUUAUAAUGACAAUUCAGGAGU